RNAcentral lists this long non-coding RNA (1070 nucleotides) under Chrysemys picta bellii (western painted turtle). RNAcentral describes it as "lncRNA (ENSCPBG00000011115.1)". Lineage: Eukaryota; Metazoa; Chordata; Testudines; Emydidae. The record is from RNAcentral.
UGGAGGGGGGGGGACAGGGCGCUGCCAAUCACCGCUCUCCCCGGGGGGCCGGGGCCCCCGCGUGCCAGGCCCCCCCCGGCUGCGGGUGGAGCCAGGGCCUGGGGGCGGUGCAAUGUAACGGGGUUGAAUUAAUGACUCAUUAAGCAAACCCAGCGGUGUAACAAUGGCCAUUAAUUGGCAGGCGAUGCAGACAGCGUUAUUAGCACCAGCCCGUCCAUCAAUCGCGGCGACUGGUGUCCGGUGCAUUGAUUGCCAGACAACUCACCGCAGCUUGGGGGGGGGAUAGAACCGCGAUGGGAGCUAAUGAAUACCGCUGGCAUGUCAUUAAUGCAAUGUGUAGUUUCAGUUGACUCCCCGGGCACAUCUAGGUGUUGCCCAGGCGAGGUGUCCCUUGGACUCCACUGAGAAUCCUGCUCCGGACCACAGCUGCAGGGAGCCACUCCCCCAGGAAAAUCCCUUGGCGCUCAGGGAUUGUUGGGGAUCCAGGGGGGCAGGGCUAGCCCCAGUUGUAGAGAACGGUCAUCCUUCUGGACACUACAAGACAGAUGCGUUUGGAGGACUCUGGGCUCAGCCUGCACUAGGGGUACGUCUACACCACAAAUUCCAGUGUAACUGUAGUGCAGGUAGGCACACCCGCGCCAGCUUGAAUUUAGCCAGCGCAGCUACCACUAGUGACAAAGAUGUGGUGGCAUGGACCCUCGGACGGGCUAGCACAACCCACGUACAUACCCAGAGUCCCCAGUGGGCCGCACAGAGGUGGCUAGAGCCCAUAUGGAACUCCGCUGCCUUGUCGUCACUACUAUUCUUACCUGCAUGCGUUGAAUUAAAGCUAUCAGGGGGUAGCCGAUGACUUGCAUCUGAAGAAGUGAGGUUCUUACCCACGAAAGCUUAUGCUCCCAAUACUUCUGUUAGUCUUAAAGGUGCCACAGGACCCUCUGUUGCUUUUUACGUGAAUUAAAGCUAGUGUAGUUAUGCCUCCCUAUGCUGUAAUCCCACCUUAAUUUGCAGUGUAGACGUGCCCUAAGGCGUCAGUUCUUUGCCGGGCUGCUUCAUGAACCUAUCUGAGCACG